Molecule: long non-coding RNA, 219 nt
Filed under: Gossypium barbadense (sea-island cotton)
Lineage: Eukaryota; Viridiplantae; Streptophyta; Magnoliopsida; Malvales; Malvaceae
Description: long non-coding RNA (GBAR_LNC009058)
Source: RNAcentral
UAAGGGCACAUGACAUAGCCAAAAUAACCACAAUGGACAACAUUUCAUUUAUACAUUUUACUCAUCCAUGAAAAUAUCAUCUUCUAUUUAUAAAUCAACAUGAGUAUUGACCAUUAGCCAUGGCCUUAUACAAAAUGAGUAUCAUAUUCAUCAUAUGAGCGAACACAUUAUCGGUAACUAACAAAACACUAAACAAAGACUCGAAUCCCUAUACAUUCC